CCUACGGGAGGCAGCAGUCGAGAAUCAUUCACAAUGGGGGAAACCCUGAUGGUGCGACGCCGCGUGGGGGAAUGAAGGUCUUCGGAUUGUAAACCCCUGUCAUGUGGGAGCAAAUUAAAAAGAUAGUACCACAAGAGGAAGCUACGGCUAACUCUGUGCCAGCAGCCGCGGUAAUACAGAGGUCUCAAGCGUUGUUCGGAAUCACUGGGCGUAAGGGGUGCGUAGGCUGUUUCGUAAGUCGUGUGUGAAAGGCGCGGGCUCAACCCGCGGACGGCACAUGAUACUGCGAGACUAGAGUAAUGGAGGGGGAACCGGAAUUCUCGGUGGAGCAGUGAAAUGCGUAGAUAUCGAGAGGAACACUCGGGGCGAAGGCGGGUUCCUGGACAUUAACUGACGCUGAGGCACGAAGGCCAGGGGAGCGAAAGGGAUUAGAUACCCGAGUAGUC
Molecule: ribosomal RNA, 446 nt
Filed under: uncultured bacterium
Lineage: Bacteria
Description: partial 16S ribosomal RNA
Rfam family: Bacterial small subunit ribosomal RNA
Source: RNAcentral